This 425-nucleotide ribosomal RNA is filed under the name uncultured bacterium. RNAcentral's name for it is "partial 16S ribosomal RNA". It matches the Rfam family "Bacterial small subunit ribosomal RNA", at positions 360 to 776 of the family's 1533-position model. The record is from RNAcentral.
AAUAUUUGACACUGGGGGGAACCCUGAUCCAGCCAUGCCGCGUGUGUGAAGAAGGCCUGUUGGUGGUAAAGCACUUUAAGCGAGGAGGAGGCUACCGAGAUUAAUACUCUUGGAUAGUGGACGUUACUCGCAGACGAAGCACCGGCUAACUCUGUGCAAGCAGCCGCGGUAAUACAGAGGGUGCAAGCGUUAAUCGGAUUUACUGGGCGUAAAGCACGCGUAGGUGGCCAAUUAAGUCAAAUGUGAAAUCCCCGAGCUUAACUUGGGAAUUGCAUUCGAUACUGGUUGGCUAGAGUAUGGGAGAGGAUGGUAGAAUUCCAGGUGUAGCGGUGAAAUGCGUAGAGAUCUGGAGGAAUACCGAUGGCGAAGGCAGCCAUCUGGCCUAAUACUGACACUGAGGUGCGAAAGCAUGGGGAGCAAACAGG